RNAcentral lists this ribosomal RNA (479 nucleotides) under Pseudomonas sp. RNAcentral's name for it is "bacterial SSU rRNA". It matches the Rfam family "Bacterial small subunit ribosomal RNA", at positions 30 to 500 of the family's 1533-position model. Lineage: Bacteria; Pseudomonadati; Pseudomonadota; Gammaproteobacteria; Pseudomonadales; Pseudomonadaceae. The record is from RNAcentral.
AUUGAACGCUGGCGGCAGGCCUAACACAUGCAAGUCGAGCGGCAGCACGGGUACUUGUACCUGGUGGCGAGCGGCGGACGGGUGAGUAAUGCCUAGGAAUCUGCCUGGUAGUGGGGGAUAACGCUCGGAAACGGACGCUAAUACCGCAUACGUCCUACGGGAGAAAGCAGGGGACCUUCGGGCCUUGCGCUAUCAGAUGAGCCUAGGUCGGAUUAGCUAGUUGGUGAGGUAAUGGCUCACCAAGGCUACGAUCCGUAACUGGUCUGAGAGGAUGAUCAGUCACACUGGAACUGAGACACGGUCCAGACUCCUACGGGAGGCAGCAGUGGGGAAUAUUGGMCAAUGGGCGAAAGCCUGAUCCAGCCAUGCCGCGUGUGUGAAGAAGGUCUUCGGAUUGUAAAGCACUUUAAGUUGGGAGGAAGGGCAUUUACCUAAUACGUAAGUGUUUUGACGUUACCGACAGAAUAAGCACCGGCUAA